GGGGAAUAUUGGACAAUGGGGGGAACCCUGAUCCAGCCAUGCCGCGUGUGUGAAGAAGGCCUUAUGGUUGUAAAGCACUUUAAGCGAGGAGGAGGCUCUUUUGGCUAAUACCCCAGAUGAGUGGACGUUACUCGCAGAAUAAGCACCGGCUAACUCUGUGCCAGCAGCCGCGGUAAUACAGAGGGUGCGAGCGUUAAUCGGAUUUACUGGGCGUAAAGCGUGCGUAGGCGGCUUUUUAAGUCGGAUGUGAAAUCCCCGAGCUUAACUUGGGAAUUGCAUUCGAUACUGGGAAGCUAGAGUAUGGGAGAGGAUGGUAGAAUUCCAGGUGUAGCGGUGAGAUGCGUAGAGAUCUGGAGGAAUACCGAUGGCGAAGGCAGCCAUCUGGCCUAAUACUGACGCUGAGGGACGAAAGCAUGGGGAGCAAAC
RNAcentral lists this ribosomal RNA (426 nucleotides) under uncultured bacterium. Its description in RNAcentral is "bacterial SSU rRNA". It matches the Rfam family "Bacterial small subunit ribosomal RNA", at positions 356 to 773 of the family's 1533-position model. The record is from RNAcentral.